Long non-coding RNA from Ornithorhynchus anatinus (platypus), 526 nucleotides. RefSeq lists it as uncharacterized. Lineage: Eukaryota; Metazoa; Chordata; Mammalia; Monotremata; Ornithorhynchidae. The transcript is spliced from 3 exons. The record is from RefSeq and is a predicted model, not a curated record.
CCAUUCUGUGGCAAUUUCGUGGGGGGAGAUGCUAUUUCUUUUCCACCCAAGAGAAGGCCUGGAACCAGAGCCGGGAUUCUUGCACCCAAGAGGACGCCUCUCUGGCUGUUGGUACAAGCAGAGCAAAACUGGAUUUCCUCAACUCAAGCGUGAAAUUAGAAUCAUACUUUGUCGGCCUCCGUUACCACCACUCUGAUAACAAGUGGAGAUGGGUGGAUGGCACGGAGCUCAGUGCUGACAUAGCUAUAACCCGGAGGCCGGAUUUCGACUGCGCCACAGUAGGAUUUGGCAGAAACCUGAGCCCCACACUGUGUGACAAUGCCCACCGCUGGAUCUGCGAGAAGCCCGCCCUGUCAAGUGGGAAGCCCAAGCGGGCGUGAACCACAGAGCGGAGCAUCUUCUAGGGAUCGAAAGUGGGCGAAAGCACGGGAGUGAUGCGUCGGCUGGGGAUCUGGAGUGGGCAGAAACCAGAGAGCAAUGCUUCACUGAGGGAUCUGGGAGGGAGGGGGAAAGCAAUGAGCCAUCU